UACAGAGGUCUCAAGCGUUGUUCGGAAUCACUGGGCGUAAAGGGUGCGUAGGCGGCGGGGAAAGUCAGAUGUGAAAUCCGGAGGCCCAACCUCCGAAUUGCAUCCGAUACUCCCUCGCUAGAGAUUUGUAGAGGAGCUUGGAAUUCUCGGUGUAGCAGUGAAAUGCGUAGAUAUCUGGAGGAACACCGGUGGCGAAGGCGGCAUCCUGGACCGACACUGACGCUGAGGAGCGAAAGCCAGGGGAGCAAACGGG
Molecule: ribosomal RNA, 253 nt
Filed under: uncultured bacterium
Lineage: Bacteria
Description: partial 16S ribosomal RNA
Rfam family: Bacterial small subunit ribosomal RNA
Source: RNAcentral